RNAcentral lists this ribosomal RNA (429 nucleotides) under Actinomycetes bacterium. RNAcentral's name for it is "Actinobacteria bacterium partial 16S ribosomal RNA". It matches the Rfam family "Bacterial small subunit ribosomal RNA", at positions 355 to 776 of the family's 1533-position model. Lineage: Bacteria; Bacillati; Actinomycetota; Actinomycetes. The record is from RNAcentral.
GAGGGAAUCUUCCGCAAUGGGCGAAAGCUUGACGGAGCAACGCCGCGUGAGUGAUGAAGGUCUUCGGAUCGUAAAACUCUGUUAUUAGGGAAGAACAAAUGUGUAAGUAACUAUGCACGUCUUGACGGUACCUAAUCAGAAAGCCACGGCUAACUACGUGCCAGCAGCCGCGGUAAUACGUAGGUGGCAAGCGUUAUCCGGAAUUAUUGGGCGUAAAGCGCGCGUAGGCGGUUUUUUAAGUCUGAUGUGAAAGCCCACGGCUCAACCGUGGAGGGUCAUUGGAAACUGGAAAACUUGAGUGCAGAAGAGGAAAGUGGAAUUCCAUGUGUAGCGGUGAAAUGCGCAGAGAUAUGGAGGAACACCAGUGGCGAAGGCGACUUUCUGGUCUGUAACUGACGCUGAUGUGCGAAAGCGUGGGGAUCAAACAGG